Molecule: long non-coding RNA, 259 nt
Filed under: Homo sapiens (human)
Lineage: Eukaryota; Metazoa; Chordata; Mammalia; Primates; Hominidae
Description: HSALNT0408130
Source: RNAcentral
CCUAAAUGCUGUUUUCAUUCUUUGAAGAUCAAAGAAAGGACCUGGAAACAUCCUUUCAGCACCUCUAAAGGAGCUCUGCUCAAUUCAGGCAAAUUGCCAGGAAGAAUGAUUUAUGAGAUGGAGAUGGAGAAAAGAAAAAUGAAAUACAAAAGGAGAUGACAAGACCUGGAACAGACCCAGAGAUAAAAGUAAUGUUUUCAGGAUGGAAAAACCAACCUGUCAACUAUGAACUACUCACCUAUGGACCAGUAUAUGAGGA